CAGACGGGGGACAACAGGGAGGAAGAGGGGGCAAGGGGCGAGAGCCUGAACCAGCCAAGGCGCGUGAAGGAUGACGGCCCUACGGGUUGUAAACUUCUUUUGUCAGGGAGCAAUUGGGUCCACGCGUGGGCUUAGCGAGAGUACAUGAAGAAAAAGCAUCGGCUAACUCCGUGCCAUCAGCCGCGGUAAUACGGAGGAUGCGAGCGUUAUCCGGCUUUAUUGGGUUUAAAGGGUGCGUAGGCGGAAUAUCAAGUCAGCGGUAAAAAUUCGGGGCUCAACCCCGUCGUGCCGUUGAAACUGAUGUUCUUGAGUGGGCGAGAGGUAUGCGGAAUGCGUGGUGUAGCGGUGAAAUGCAUAGAUAUCACGCAGAACUCCGAUUGCGAAGGCAGCAUACCGGCGCCCAACUGACGCUGAAGCACGAAAGCGUGGGUAUCGAACAGGAUUAGAUACCCCAGUAGUC
Molecule: ribosomal RNA, 460 nt
Filed under: uncultured bacterium
Lineage: Bacteria
Description: partial 16S ribosomal RNA
Rfam family: Bacterial small subunit ribosomal RNA
Source: RNAcentral